Non-coding RNA from Megalopta genalis, 1994 nucleotides. The record is from RefSeq and is a predicted model, not a curated record. NCBI's taxonomy places the organism in Eukaryota, Metazoa, Arthropoda, Insecta, Hymenoptera, Halictidae.
UCCGCGAAAUAGAGACACAGGUUCACUUAAUAUUUCCGUAUUUGCGAAAUCAACCAACUGAAAUCGAACAAAAAUGUGUACCGAGAGUGUUCACUGCAAAUUAAAAAACAAUUAAAUGAAUUACAAAUAAUGAUCGUUCGCAGAGUGAAAUCUAAAAUAAAAGAAAACGUUCGCAGACGAAUCGAAAAUAACGAUUGAAACUUCCGAUUGACGAAAAUUAAGACGAGGACAGAGAGGGUGAUUGCUUCAAUUACCAAUUGCGAACGACCUAGUCGCAAUUAGGCACCUGCGACGAGACGGCGAACAAUCGUCGAACAGUUCGCGAGCUAUUCGCGAACUUCGUUCAACUCGUUAUACAUAUAUAGCGAUCGCCCACUAUCGCGUGACACAUUAUUCGACAUGAUUGGUCGUCGUACUGAUGUCGAAAUGAUCGAAUUGUCGAAACGAAUUAUCGAAAUGAAACCUUCGAAGAUGAAUUAGCAAAUGAAAAAAGCAAUUGUUAUUCGACUAAUAAAACAUUCGACCGAGAAAGUAUUCGUUCGAACGAUCGUCCGUCUUUACGCCGACGCGAGUACUAUAAAUAAAUCCUGUCGGACGGGGGUGCCAAAAUCCGUGGAAUAAAUGGUCUUUAUGGUUUCGUUGGCGAAAAAGAACCCGAGGAAAAAUGGCCAAUAAAAAGGCUAUCCUAUAAUCCUGCGACUAAACCCACCGACACUUUUGCGUCCGAAAUAUACUGCGUUCUCAAAAUAGUCGAAGGACAGACAAAAGAGGGUGGUAAUGAACGUGGGUCGACCGCGGCACGGAUGCAAAAAUUCCAGAAAAUCGUCGAAACAAAACGGUCACGUGGCUCGGGCUUUUGCACGCGGUCCAAUGGAAUCCUGUUUUCCGAUGAUGUAGAUGAUAACGUGACUGUUUAAGUGCGACUACCGUCGUGAAAUCACCAUGUACGAUUCGACCCCAAAGGCCAUGCGCGAGACGGAAGCAUAUAUAUCAUAGUCAUCUUGGCAAAAAAAAAGAAAAACAAGAACACAAUUCAAGUAAAUCCAGUUUUUUAUAUCACGUUACAUCCUAAAAAAAUGUGUUUAGCGUCUUUAGUUCACAGUUUCCUAGACACAUUAAUUAGAAUGCUUGACUUCGUGAGACGAUUAGUCCGGGAAAAAAGGAGAGACAAUAAUACAUGUAUUUUCGUCGAGAAGGUUCAUCGUUCGAGUGUGUGUACCUUGCGGACACACGUGUCAGAGGUCCAAGAUCAUCGUUUGACAUCGCGUGCGUGCGUGCGUGUUUGUAUGUGUGUGUGUUUGCACGUCUUCUUCCGACGCGCAAACAAGUCGGCAUUUUGUCUCGCCGUGGCACACGUGCGCCUCGAGAACAAAAGUCGUGAAAAACGUCGAUCAUUCGACACAACACGUUUGCGGUGAGAUCAUUCGCAUUGUCGGUAGACCACGGAUGGUUCGUGGAAAGUAAAAAGUACAAGUAAAGGGCUCCCGGGAAUGUCUUGGAAUAACCGACGGUCAUCGAAAAUGCACGGCCGGCGUUCGCAACACCCGUUAAUUAUUCCCGCAGAAACGUGCAUCGCGCAGAAGAUUCCGGCCGAUCGGCUAAUAUAUUUGGGAUUAUGGUAAAUAAAUUAGUGCACGGACAGCCGAUUCUCGGGCUGAUUUAUCCGCCGUCGUUUAUCAGGGUUUACGAUGAGUGCAGCCUGUGUUCUAUCAUGCCACCGACCUAUCAAGGUGAACGCCUCUUACGAUGAAAUAGUGCUCGGCGAGAUACGUUGCCGAAGAUCGAAGCAUAUUUUCGUUGCACGGGAGCAGAUAAACGCACACGAGGUAUACGACUGAUCGUGAUUUAUAUGUAUAGCAAUUUAUGCUUCGUUAACGCUGAAUCGUACCCCCGGCCGUCCCGAACAUCCUAACAUAACUCGGAUUUUUCGAAUCUAUUCCGAUAAGAAUGAAUUUUGCAAACUAGUAAAAAAUUAAUAAACGAUAGUAAAUAUA